This 407-nucleotide small RNA is filed under the name Pongo abelii (Sumatran orangutan). RNAcentral describes it as "processed transcript". Lineage: Eukaryota; Metazoa; Chordata; Mammalia; Primates; Hominidae. The record is from RNAcentral.
CUUCCCUCAUUUACAGAUGAAACAAAGACUUAAGCCUGAAGAUACUUUACUGUCUAGCGUCACUCAGCUUACAAGUGGCAGACAUAGAACUGAGAAGUCUUCCUACUUUCCCUUUCACUGUAGGAACCCUUGUCAUCUGUAGGGGAGCUCUACAGAUUCCUAUCAGAACCUGGCUGCUGUAUUUACCAUGUACCUGGAGCAUUGGUUUGGCAGCUGAACCAGGUUGUUUUCCAGAUUGGUACAUGCUCUCCCUCUUUGGCACUGGAGCUAUUCUGAUGCGUGGAGCAGGCUGUACUAUUAAUGACAUGUGGGACCAGGACUAUGAUAAAAAGGUUACAAGAACAGCCAAUCGUCCAAUAGCCGCUGGAGACAUUUCAACUUUUCGGUCCUUUGUUUUUCUUGGGGGA